Molecule: non-coding RNA, 23 nt
Filed under: Arabidopsis thaliana (thale cress)
Lineage: Eukaryota; Viridiplantae; Streptophyta; Magnoliopsida; Brassicales; Brassicaceae
Source: RNAcentral
AGACCGAAAUGACCUGGUAGCCA